Molecule: long non-coding RNA, 1728 nt
Filed under: Olea europaea subsp. europaea
Lineage: Eukaryota; Viridiplantae; Streptophyta; Magnoliopsida; Lamiales; Oleaceae
Source: RNAcentral
UUGAGAUGAAUACUACUUGGAGCUCAAGUUAUUGAUUCUUGAAUUUCUAUCUACAUUAAGGUAAGGAGAUGUCAAUUUUUUUUUGGGCAAACCCUAGCUUUUAAAUUUGAUGAUUGAGUAUGGAUUAUUUGUAGGAAUGAUUACAUUAAUGGAAUUAUUCACUUGGGAGUUGAUUUUAUGGAACAAAAUGUAUAUUAAAUGGGUGGAAUUAUGGUUACUAGUUUCACUUGAUUGGAGAGUAAAAUUAGUUUUAAACUUGGGAAGAAGGUUUUGUUGAUGAAUUAGUUAUUAGAAAAGGGAUUAGAAAGUGAGAUUAGUUCCAAUUGAUCAAAAGAAUGUUUGGGAAAUUCAUUCGAGCAUCGACCAAUUUUAGUUAAAUAUUAUAGAAGUAGAUCUUAAAGUUUCUUAAUUUAAUAGUGGUUGAUUAGUCAUCUUGUUAUGUAUUCUAGGUGGUGAUGAGGAGAUUGAAAGAAUCUAUCGACCAUCUUAGGUUCAGCUUGUAUUAUGUGAGUGGAUAAGCUUAUUUUUCAGAAAUUAGUAUUUAUUUAAUUUAUAUUAACUCAUAAAAUUUAUUAAUUCAUACAGUCGAUUUGACAACACGAUUUUCAGAAUAAAGUUGAUUUAUAACCAGUUGUUUUUAAAAGUUAAAUUCAAUUUAGUAAAUCAUUUUAUUAGUAUGUUGUAUAAGUAUUAAAUGUUUCACCAUAUUUAAAGUUAUUUCUAAAAAUCACCAGAAAGUACCCAAGUGAUUUUACCCUCGUCUGUAUUGGUGUGAAUGUGUUUCCACAGUGUAUGACUUCAUAUGGUUAUUUUACCUACUCUGCGUUGGUGUGAAUGUGUUUCCACAGUCUAUGAUCAGUAUAGUGAUUUUACCCCACUUUGCAUUAUUGUGAAUGUGUUUCCAUAGUGUAUGACCAUUUUAUAGUUCUGUGCGCAUACCACCAGAAUUUCAGAAUUACAGAAUUUCAGAAUUGAAUAACCUUGCUAUGUAUAUCGAGAUUAAUCGAUUCACGAGUAUGAUUAUUCCGGGUACAUUUUUGGUGUGAUGUUUCAGUAUUACAUAGCUUAUCAGAUUUUAGAAAUACAGUAUAUAGAAUAAAAAUGUUUAUGAUUAUAGUAUAUUUUAGUUUUGAUAGUAUUAUCAGAUUCUAAGCUACAAAAUUCAGUUUAAAGAAUAAAUAUCUUAGUUUAUAUGUUUAUGAAAAGAAAUUUUAUGCUAUAUGUCGAUUUUCAGAAAGAUUUUAUGAAUGGAAAAGUAUACUUUACAAGUAUCCAUUCAUUGAGUUAUAGGCUCACAUUUUUAUCACUAUUUUUUUAUCAGAUAGUAGCUGAGUUGAGCACUACUGGGCCAGUUGAUCUAUCGAGUUGAGCCAUAGAUUGUCAAGCAUUGUAUGAAUCAUCUUUUCAGUUUAAUAGUUCAUAUUUUGGGAUAGACACCUCUUUUGGUCAGAAAUAAGUUCCAUGUGUUGGGCUUGCUAUGUUUUGUAUAUAUAUUAUGCAUUUUAGGUACUGUGGUUUAGAAAUUAUUGCAAAAGUCGAAUUGCCAGUCUUAUAUUUGAAUAGUUGAUAUUUUGAGGAGUCGGUGUACCCUGUUUUAAACUAUAUGUACAUGUUGGGGAUAUUUGAUUUUAUUUUCAAGUGGUUUUAGUCCAUUUUUCAGAGGGAACUCUGUUGAAAUUUUUAUAAAAUUAUAAUAGUCAAAGCAUGUCAAGUUUGCCUUGGUGGUGG